UUCCAACUCGUCAAUAAAAUCUGAGCACCAGGAACAAAGCUCACGUAAAAAUCUCGAAAAUGCGAAAUGUAUUCCAGUCUACGAAUUCAACGGUGUGGGUUGUCUGUUAUGCAGAGAAUGCGACGCAUCAGGAUUUCACAGGAUUUGAAAACGGGAUCCAGGAUACCCUAUUACCCUGCCGAUGGAGGCGACCGGGAAUUAAAAAACAGAACACUAAAGUAAUUGUGCCCCAUGAAGACGGAUCAAAAUAUUUAACAAACGCCGAUUUGGUGCCAAAAACUACCUGAAGGUAUUGUUGAUUGUCGGUACAGUGCAGCUAAACCACGAUAUCAAAUGAAUCGAUACGUGAUCCCUGCUUAUCCCGUCAAUUUAUAAAAAUGUCCAGUCCUAAAAUCCGUGUUCGUCAAAAUUUUUGUGUACAUAAGGAGUUACUUAUACGAAUAAUAUAAGGAAAACAUGUAGAACCUUUUUAAACAUUAUCGUUAACAAUAAAAAUAUAUGCUGUUGCUGUUUA
Armigeres subalbatus is the source of this 514-nucleotide long non-coding RNA. RefSeq lists it as uncharacterized. Lineage: Eukaryota; Metazoa; Arthropoda; Insecta; Diptera; Culicidae. The record is from RefSeq and is a predicted model, not a curated record. The transcript has 2 exons.